UUUUGCAGAUCCUGUACUUCUGACCAUGGCAUUCAAUUCACGCAAUCCAGGUCCAGGGGGAGAUCAAAGAGGCCCGCCAGGAAUGCUCAGAAGACUCACUCCGAAGGCCCUCCCACUAACUGACCUCCUUUCCGCCCAUCUGGCCCUCCUCUUCCUCCUUCACCACAAUAUAUGAACGCCAUGCACUUACUGCGGGCCGUCUGCGUUUUGACUUCGUCUCCAGUGACUACUCUCUGUACUUU
Long non-coding RNA from Erpetoichthys calabaricus (reedfish), 242 nucleotides. RefSeq lists it as uncharacterized. The transcript has 3 exons. The record is from RefSeq and is a predicted model, not a curated record. Lineage: Eukaryota; Metazoa; Chordata; Cladistia; Polypteriformes; Polypteridae.